GACAUCCCGAUGGUGCAGCCGCUAUUAAA
Molecule: non-coding RNA, 29 nt
Filed under: Homo sapiens (human)
Lineage: Eukaryota; Metazoa; Chordata; Mammalia; Primates; Hominidae
Source: RNAcentral